AUUGAACGCUGGCGGAAUGCUUUACACAUGCAAGUCGAACGGCAGCACGGGAGCUUGCUCCUGGUGGCGAGUGGCGAACGGGUGAGUAAUGCGUCGGAACGUACCGAGUAAUGGGGGAUAACGCAGCGAAAGCUGUGCUAAUACCCCAUACGCCCUGAGGGGGAAAGUGGGGGAUCGCAAGACCUCACGUUAUUCGAGCGGCCGACGUCUGAUUAGCUAGUUGGUGGGGUAAUGGCCUACCAAGGCGACGAUCAGUAGCGGGUCUGAGAGGAUGAUCCGCCACACUGGAACUGAGACACGGUCCAGACUCCUACGGGAGGCAGCAGUGGGGAAUUUUGGACAAUGGGGGAAACCCUGAUCCAGCGAUUCCGCGUGAGUGAAGAAGGCCUUCGGGUUGUAAAGCUCUUUCAGCUGGAACGAAACGGUACGCUCUAACAUAGUGUGCUAAUGACGGUACCGGCAGAAGAAGCACCGGCUAACUACGUGCCAGCAGCCGCGGUAAUACGUAGGGUGCGAGCGUUAAUCGGAAUUACUGGGCGUAAAGCGUGCGCAGGCGGAUUGUUAAGCAAGAUGUGAAAUCCCCGGGCUUAACCUGGGAAUGGCAUUUUGAACUGGCAGUCUAGAGUGCGUCAGAGGGGGGUGGAAUUCCACGUGUAGCAGUGAAAUGCGUAGAGAUGUGGAGGAACACCAAUGGCGAAGGCAGCCCCCUGGGAUGACACUGACGCUCAUGUACGAAAGCGUGGGUAGCAAACAGGAUUAGAUACCCUGGUAGUCCACGCCCUAAACGAUGUCAACUGGUUGUUGGG
RNAcentral lists this ribosomal RNA (806 nucleotides) under uncultured Thiobacillus sp. Its description in RNAcentral is "bacterial SSU rRNA". It matches the Rfam family "Bacterial small subunit ribosomal RNA", at positions 28 to 827 of the family's 1533-position model. Lineage: Bacteria; Pseudomonadati; Pseudomonadota; Betaproteobacteria; Nitrosomonadales; Thiobacillaceae. The record is from RNAcentral.